UACAGAGGUGGCAAGCGUUGCUCGGUAUCACUGGGCUUAAAGGGCGCGUAGGCGGUGCGGUACGGUUUCGGUGAAACUCCCUCCGGCCGAACCGCAGGAACACCGGAGCUACGGCCGGACUAGGACGGCAGUACUCGAGGGGACGAGUGGAACGUCCCGGUAGGAGCGGUGAAAUGCGUAGAGUAGUCGGGACGGAAGCGCCAGG
This 205-nucleotide ribosomal RNA is filed under the name uncultured bacterium. RNAcentral's name for it is "partial 16S ribosomal RNA". It matches the Rfam family "Bacterial small subunit ribosomal RNA", at positions 524 to 713 of the family's 1533-position model. The record is from RNAcentral.